CUUGUGCACACAUGAAGACCUGCACCUGUCCACCACCACAUGCUCCACUUGUGGACUUCCUCUACAUCCUGGAGAGGUGCUGGGUGUGAGGGUAGGGCUAGGGCCAUAUGAGACACUGAUUGGAGAUACCAGGGAAGAAUGGAAAAUCAGCAGCAUCUGUGACCUUCCAUGCCUGCAGUCAAGAGACAGCUGGAGACAACCCACAGAGCAGGUUGAUCAGGAAGAUCCCCUUAGGGCCUCUUAGAGCCUGUGAAGAAAAUUAGCAGAGCCAGAGAAAGAAAAUCAGGACUGUGCCAGAGCUGGUUUAAGCUGUGAUAUGUUAGAAUGGCUCCUCAUGGUGGUCAGGGGAACCCAGAAAGGCUGUGCCUCUCAGAAGAUGGAACAGUGUAGAUUUUGAGAAUGCUGAGCAGACAGUGGGGAGGGUUUGGAGAGAAGGCUAAUGCAGAACCCUUGCUUCUUCAUGAUGAGAAAGCCAAUUCCAAACCCUGUAACACAGGUGGGGAAAACUGAGACCUGUAGUUUUCAGAUUCCCGGGCUUCAGAAGCAAAGAAAAGCAACACCAGGAAAGAGAAAAAUGGAGAGAAGGAAGAAUAAAGGAGAAGAGGAGCCCCAUCCAUCCUUAAACCAUCAUCUACCCACAUGACUGAUACAGGCCAGCUCCUCUGACGACAUGCUCAACUCCCCCAGCAACUUCUCAACUCCCUCCCUACAGAAGCAAAUGGGGGAAAGCUGUAGAGGGACAUCUCAGAAGAGUCCUCUUCCACGUUGCCCCCUAACCCUUUCAGCCUCUGGGAAGAGAUCUUUCGUUUCCGCCAGUAUCCAUCCACCAGCUUCAGGAGAUAUGGCUGGCGCCUCCAGAAGCCUUCCCCAGAGAUGUUCUCUGUGCUGCCCUUCACUGCUUCCUAGUCUCCCCACAGUGUCUUACCUGUCUCCUCCAUUCCAGUGAGGCCAGGUGCUCCGGCUCAGCAGUCGGUACCUUUCCAGGAAAGACUUGUAGCCCUGCCGGUAGGCAUAGCCUGCCCUUCGCACCCGCACAUUCUCCAGCAGUCCCAGGUACCGUGCCUGCACUGCCACCAGCUCUGAGGAGAACCGACCUUGCUGCUGAUGCUCAUUGGGCUUUAUGCACCUGGUAGGAAAUGGAGUAAAGUACAGGAUUCAGGAGCAGAUACAACUGCUGGUGGGGACUAUCCUGGUCUCCACACAACUAUUCUGCACACAGUCUCCUUAGCUGAAAAUUUCAGUGAAAGUGAACCACUCAUCUUCCCAGUUUCACUCACUACUCUGAUACUAUCCUCUCCACCUACAAGCCAUUCAGCUUCUCAUCUGGCUCUGUCUUCCAUGAAGAAAGGAUCUCUGACACCCUGUUCCAGAGACAUCCCCCACGGACAUGUUCUGCACUGCAUGGAGCCUGCACAUGUCAUCACCUAUGAAGCAUGUUCCCCUGUGUGCCCAACUUGUCACCUGAUGUAAUUGGGGUUCUUGGAAUACAGGUUCUUCAUGAGAAUUGCCACAGAAUUCUUGAACUGGGACCCAGCAGUUGGGGGGCGUUUGAGGGAUGCCUGUUUGGGAUUGCCCUCAGGGAACAAGGACCGAAGGAGAGGGUGCUGGGCCUUCCACAUGGCCUGGGACAAGUCUCGGAAGAGUAGGUCAUUAUUCUUGUCAAUGAAGCUGGUCACAUUGUACAUUACCUAUAGAGAAGCAGUUAUCGGUUUAAAAAUUCCACACACUGUUCCAGUACUGGGCCCUCACAGUCUUGUUGUAAAGUAUUGUCAGCUCUUAUCUCACCCCAAACCCCACCUCCAGCUGCCUUCAGCCUGUGCCCAGGCCCUAGUCUUUACCCAACAUUUCUGCUAUAUCACCUUGCCCGCAUAGUGGCAGAUGCGAAAGCAGCUGAGACCCAUGUUGUGGUCAUACAGGCGCUGGGCAUUCUGGGUGACUUUGCUCUCGUAGUGACUGUGGUUGCAGAAGAGCUGGUUCAGCUUCGCUAGGAAAGUAGAGUCACUGACCACCCCAGGCCGCAGGCACUCCUCAUCCAGCAUGGCCAGGAUGCCUCGUUGAUUCUGGGUCAAGGGAACAAGAUCAGUGCAACCUAGACCUGAUCAUUCAAGAUGUCCACAUUCUCAUCAUUGCCUGCUCUAGCCCUUCAUAGCCUUUGCUCUCCUUUACUAUUCUUACCAAGGGGACAGUGGAGAGAAAGACAGGGGAAGGAUGUUCUGGAAAGGGAGGUCCUAGAGGUAAGAAAAAGAUAACUCACAUGUUCAAUGAGGUUACAGAUGAUGCCAUUAUCAAAAUAUUCCACCUUUGUCCAUGGUAUACCCUGGUAAGGGGAGAGAGAAAUUGUAGGAGCAGAUUCAAAUCAAGUCUCCAAAAACCUUCCUUUUACCUAUCCUACAAAGGACCAUCAGAAAAGCCUAUAAUUCCAAGGGUCCUUAGUAUGGUUCUAUUUAUGUCCUGUCCCUUCAAGUUGGUGGAGAAUUUGAGGGGUGAGUGGACACACAAUUGGCAGGAACCAGAGCCACCUGAAAGAAUAGGUGAGACAAUGCAGGUAGUGCAGGAUGGGAGAAAAGUAUAAUAUUUUGAGUGGAGAACAGGACAGAGAUUACUCCAGUAUGGGAGUGGGGAGGGAUCCAUGUGUCUGUGGAAGAGUAAUGGCUACUCUGCUCUGACAAUAAACUCUAAGACUGGAACACUUGAGCAAGAGUUUAGCAUCAAAAAUAAAACUCAACUGAUAACACUUUCUAAGAUCUACAUCAGUAAUUUUCAGACUUGAGAGUUCAUCCUAAUCACCUGGAGGGCUUGCUAAACACAGAUUUCUGGGUCCCCAACCAAGUUUCAGAUUCAGCAGGUCUGAGAUGGUGCCCAGGAAUUUACAUUCCCAACAUGUUCCUAGGUGAUGCUAAUGUUGCUGGUCUAGGACCACACUUUAAGAACCACUGAUCUAGACCAUACUUUGGGAAAAUAUAAAACUUUAAAAAGCAAAAAUGGCACAACAGCAAAAGACUCAAAGACAAUCGUUCUCUGCUUUAGGGAAUUGUUGAGCUUCAGGCCCACAGUCAGGAUAGCUCCUAAUCUCUCCCAGGCUGAGGUCACUCCCAAAUGUGGCUAGGGAGCACAACCCUUUCUUUUUUUCCAAGUCUUUGGAGAAAGUAGAAGGAAAUUAAAUCAAGUUUCUCUCCAACUUCAUCCUAAAAAAAUCUUCCCUAACUGGUUAAAUGAAUUACAAUAACCUUAUAAUCCUGAGUAGGUAUAAAAAAGUGGAAAAAUCUCUUGCUAAGUGAUGAUAGCAAGAUACACAACACUAUAUUUACUGCCAUUUGUACAAUUUUUGUAGAAAAAUACAUUUAUAUGUUGCUUGUGUCUAUGCAAGAAACCUCUGAAAGGAGGCCCAUCUUGUUUGCCUCUGGCACGGGAUGGAAACUAGGAGGCCAGGGACAAGGAUGGCAGGGAGACUUUGUGUAUACACCUUUUUAAGCUUUUUGAAAUCUGAAGCACGGGAAUUAUUAUCUAUUUGGUAAUUUAAAUUGUUAAAAUAAAAAUACACGAAACAACUUCAAAAACUCUUUCACACAUUGUGACCAUAUUGCCUGAAAUUCUGCCACAACAGAUUCUUGAGAAUUAACAAGGAAUAUCCCUAGGAGGGUUUUGAAGAGUGAGACAGCCAUUCACACUUUGGGAUGGAUUAGCUCAAUCAGAGAACUUUUCUAACGCCUUGCCAUUGAAAACAGGAGUUUGCACUGAAUCAGGGAAGGGUUAUGGAAAUUUGGAGCCAUGGGGCACUUCCAGUGAGGAAGUCUGGAAUCAGGAUGCUAUGAGGGGAUGGCAACAUCAGCAAGCGCCCAGAGGAAACAAAGGAUUCUGAGAUGUUGGAGAAAGGCACAGAAAGGGAUGUGGGAGGAUGCCAAGCCCAAAAGAAAUGUCCCUUCUAAAUCUGGAUCACAGACUGCCAUAGGCCAUGCACAACUGUCACUUCAUUCAUGUCAGGACUCUCCACAGACACAUCCUUACAUCAAUCUAUCCGCUGCUUGGCCUGGCCUGGCCUGGAGUGGAGGCUGGGAUCACAGAGGAUGGGAGCAGAGCAUUAGGACUACUUAGUAAUGCUGAAUGCUCAGCUGUGCAAGAGAAACUUUUCAUCCUUUGUGUUCCCAUCUGGAGAUAAUUUAGAGGAAGUUGUGGUAAAGAAGAAAGGAAGAUCUGGCAUAUGUCUGGAAAUAAUUAAAACAGUAAGGGGACACUGGGGAUGUAGCUCAGUGGUGGAGUGCUUGUCUAGUAGUCAUGCGGUCCUGGGUUUGAUCCCCAGUAUUGGGAGGGGAAAAAAAAAGAGUAAGGGAAGGGAGAAGACUUAGCUUACCUCUCUCUUAUAUUCCUCUUGCUCCUCCUUCAGGGUCAAUUCUAUGAAUACCUGCUGCAGCUUCUCAUUGCAGUAGUUGAUCACAAAUUGCUCAAAGCUAUUAUCCUGAGGGUUAAAGAGAGAGAUCAGCUCACCCAAGACCUUUCCUCCCUUGCAGCCCUACCUCCAUCCUCUCACAUCCCCCCAUCAGCCUGCCCUCCGUAAUCAGGAAGCAGGCUGCUGAGGUUGGGUGAGACUCUCUCACCUCUAAUAUCUCAAAACCGUAGAUAUCCAGGACCCCCAUUACCUUCUUCUUCUCUCCAAUGCCUACCUGAAGAGGAGAAAAGAUAAAUCUAAGGUCAGGCCCUAUGAGCACACCAGACCAGGCCCUUCUGGAGCAGACAGGGUCAGAGUGGGGGCAAAGAGGACUAGAAUGAGUUUGACCAAGCUGAAAAGGAACUGUAGUAUCUUAUUCUCCUUCUCCCUCCAUAAGCUGCAGGAUAAGCAGAGGAGGAGGAAGGAAGAAAAGGAAGAUAGAAAUAGAUUCCAGGAUGAUGUUCCCAUGAUAUGAGGUAGAAAGACAUUAAAAUCCUUUCAGGAUAAUAACUAUCUCUUAUGUUUAUAGAGCAUUUACAAUGAGCUUAUUUAAUGAGCUUAUCAUAACCUUAUAAAGUAUGAUUAUUCCCAUUUUUCAGACCCAAAAAAAAAUCAAAUUUCAAAAGGGAAAAGCAAUUACCCCAGCCUAAAUUCAAGUCUCAUCUUACCUGCUGCCUUUCAGUAGUAGCUUCUAAGUAGACAGUACUUUCAUGUAGAUAAUUGCUUAAAAACAGCUUUAUUUGGGCUUGGGGGUAUAGCUUAGGAUCUUUGUGAAAUUGAAAGACCACAUAGCUGGGAAGUAGAUGAAUCAGACUGUCAAACUCAAACACCAGUGAUGUUGCCACAACACAUGGAAAGGAGCUGUACCCUUCCCCCAUCUUCUUUCCAUCCAUCUCAGAAACCAAGGAAUGGAGAUGGGGGCCAAUGUAAGAAGCCGCAGCAGGCAGAGGGCAUUGAGGGAAGAGGCCCAUCACUCACUUUGAUGCUCUCAUUGAUUCGAUUCACUAUCCAGUUGAAGAGGCGGCUAUAGAUGUUCUUAGCCAGAGCAUCACGAGCAUACUGAGCCUGCAGGGAGCACGGGCAACUUGGUUAGUGUGGCAGCCACAAAAAAAGACUCAAAAGCAGCCCCUUUCAGGAAAGUCCUUACCUGGAUGACAUUCAGUACGGUGACCACCUUUUCCUUGGCUGUUUCCAUGGUCCUUGAGCACAAAGCUCUCUCAAGUUCCUCAGAAUUCAAACCCACCAUCUCCCCAAUCUCCUGAACACCUGGAGUGAUGAGGAAAUAGAACCUGGCCAAAGAAGGGGCUUCCCUCUGGGGAGAGGAUAAUAAGUGAAGCUGUCUGUGAGACUGACACCCUGGGUCUUGCUGGGGAAGUCACUAUAGCUAAUUCAGAACAUGGCCCUGGAGGAAUGGGGGUGGGGCAGGCACUGUGGGUGUUGGGAUCUAGGCACUCUGUGUGCAACCUCUACUUUAAUAUGAAUAUCUCCUGAAAUAGUUGUGAUUACCCCUAUUUUGCAUAAGAAGCAACUGAGACUGAGAAAUCUUGGAACCAGUUCUAUUAAACUUUACCACCUCA
Non-coding RNA from Ictidomys tridecemlineatus (thirteen-lined ground squirrel), 6000 nucleotides. Lineage: Eukaryota; Metazoa; Chordata; Mammalia; Rodentia; Sciuridae. The record is from RefSeq and is a predicted model, not a curated record.